CGGACCCGGGGAGAACAACACAUCGUCUCUGCGCCAGGGAGAGAGGCGUCCGGGGAACCCAGCCGUGCCCACGCAUUUAUCUCCGCCUUCCGGCUCAGAAUUGUCUGGGUCACUUGCGACCCUCCUCUCAGGCUGCUUCUGACAGGCCCAAGUCACAGCCAACUUCAGGGGAGCUGUGUUGGAUCCCUCCAAACUCCGGGAAUGAUGUGACCUCCCCGGCGCUCACCCUGGGCCUCUAGGUUAGACUCAGCCCAGACCCUGGCUCACAGGGAAGCAGAGCCCAUGGCUGGCCUCCACCCGCUCAGACGCCCGCACACAGGCCAGG
RNAcentral lists this long non-coding RNA (325 nucleotides) under Homo sapiens (human). RNAcentral describes it as "non-protein coding LINC00528:17". The record is from RNAcentral. Lineage: Eukaryota; Metazoa; Chordata; Mammalia; Primates; Hominidae.